This is a long non-coding RNA of Lagopus leucura (white-tailed ptarmigan), 689 nucleotides long. RefSeq lists it as uncharacterized. Lineage: Eukaryota; Metazoa; Chordata; Aves; Galliformes; Phasianidae. The transcript is spliced from 3 exons. The record is from RefSeq and is a predicted model, not a curated record.
GGGCUGACCUCCACUGGGGAAGGAUCUCUGGUUGGAGAUCCUUCCUUGGUGAAGCUUUCCCCUGUGAACCUAGAAUUUUCUGAAUCAGCACAGUGUGAUCUGAAUUGCAUCCAUAAAGCACAGAUGGGAGAAAAGAUAGCCCAUACCUUUCAAUGCCAUUCACUUGAACAGAACCAUCGUGCUUCACUCAUGCAAACAACAGUCCUCUCAGCAAAUUGAAACCCACACUCAAGACUGCAGAAAGGGUGAGCAAGCCAUGUGAAGACCAUACUGUAUGCUUAAUUAUCUAUAAGCAAGCAAGCAAUGCUCUGAAAGCUAGUAAGAGUUGCAUAGAAAAAGGAAAUGCUGUCUGCAGAACAUCAGCUGCAGAAUUUAGAAGUUCUGCAAUGAAGGAAGCAGCCAGUUGAAGGUAAGAAAGGACAGCCCUACGGAUGAUGCAAUUAAGUGCUGCAUUUAAGAACUGACUGUAUCCCUGCUACUGACGCAGUCCACUGGGAAUGCCAGAAAAUCUGUGCAACUGUCCUGAGACCACAGGACAUUAUCAAUCUGUGGAGUAUUCUGCAAAUGAACUAGGGCUGUGUUUGGAAUAUGAAGGACUAUUAAAGAUGGUAAUGCAAGAAAAUCAAUUGACUAGGUUAAUGUUUCCAAAUGAGUACCAAGAAGUGUGGUUACAUUUGUCUUCUUCCUAU